UACGUAGGGUGCGAGCGUUAAUCGGAAUUACUGGGCGUAAAGUGUGCGCAGGCGGCCGAGCAAGUCGAGUGUGAAAGCCCCGGGCUUAACUUGGGAAUUGCGCUCGAAACUACUUGGCUGGAGUGUGGCAGAGGAAGGUGGAAUUCCAGGUGUAGCGGUGAAAUGCGUAGAGAUCUGGAGGAACACCGAUGGCGAAGGCAGCCUUCUGGGCCAACACUGACGCUCAUGCACGAAAGCGUGGGGAGCGAACAGG
RNAcentral lists this ribosomal RNA (253 nucleotides) under uncultured bacterium. Its description in RNAcentral is "partial 16S ribosomal RNA". It matches the Rfam family "Bacterial small subunit ribosomal RNA", at positions 524 to 776 of the family's 1533-position model. The record is from RNAcentral.